RNAcentral lists this ribosomal RNA (440 nucleotides) under uncultured bacterium. RNAcentral describes it as "partial 16S ribosomal RNA". It matches the Rfam family "Bacterial small subunit ribosomal RNA", at positions 338 to 795 of the family's 1533-position model. The record is from RNAcentral.
CCUACGGGUGGCAGCAGUGGGGGAUAUUGCACAAUGGGGGCAACCCUGAUGCAGCGACGCCGCGUGUGGGAAGACGGUCCUCUGGAUUGUAAACCACUUUCCCCAGGGACGAAGAUGACUGUACCUGGUGAUGACGCUCCGGCUCACUACGUCCCAGCAGCCGCGGUAAUACGUAGGGAGCGAGCGUUGUCCGGAAUUACUGGGUGUACAGGGAGCGUAGGCGGGACGGAAAGUUGGGGGUCAAAGCUACCGGCUCAACCGGUAGCCGCACUCAAAACUGCAGUGCUGGAGUGAAGUAGAGGCAGGCGGAAUUCCUAGUGUAGCGGUGAAAUGCGUAGAUAUUAGGAGGAACACCAGUGGCGAAGGCGGCCUGCUGGGCUGUGACUGACGCUGAGGCUCGAAAGUGUGGGGAGCAAACAGGAUUAGAUACCCCUGUAGUC